CCGCUGCCGGCGCGGCUUGAUGCGCUUGCGGCGCUUGCGGUGCGGCGGCUGCAGCGGCCGGUUCCACCGCCGGCGCGGCUGC
Molecule: transfer RNA, 82 nt
Filed under: Paraburkholderia phenoliruptrix
Lineage: Bacteria; Pseudomonadati; Pseudomonadota; Betaproteobacteria; Burkholderiales; Burkholderiaceae
Description: tRNA-Ala
Source: RNAcentral